Molecule: transfer RNA, 81 nt
Filed under: Ctenophora environmental sample
Lineage: Eukaryota; Metazoa; Ctenophora
Rfam family: tRNA
About the family: Transfer RNA (tRNA) molecules are approximately 80 nucleotides in length.
Source: RNAcentral
CGAAGUGGUGAAAUUGGUAUACGCAGUGGAUUCAAAAUCCUCCGAGCUUUUGCUCGUGCCGGUUCGAGUCCGGCCUUCGGC